This 2142-nucleotide ribosomal RNA is filed under the name Triticum aestivum (bread wheat). RNAcentral describes it as "partial small subunit ribosomal RNA". Lineage: Eukaryota; Viridiplantae; Streptophyta; Magnoliopsida; Poales; Poaceae. The record is from RNAcentral.
AUGCGUUUCUUCACCGUUCCUCCAGUCGUGCUGCAGCUGUUCGUGCUGCUCAUCUUGGCCUCUCCUGCCACCGCAUGCACCGAGCAGGAGAAGCGCAACCUCCUCGGUUUCCUUGCCGGGCUGUCGCAAGAUGGCGGCCUCGCCACGUCGUGGUGUGACAAUGGCAUGGACUGCUGCGAGUGGGAAGGCAUCACCUGCAACGGAGACGGGGCCGUUACUGAGGUUUCCCUGGCAUCUAGAGGACUUGAAGGGCGCAUCUUGCCAUCCCUUGCCGACCUCGCCAGCCUGCAGCGUGUCAACCUCUCGUACAACUCCUUCUCUGGUGGCCUUCCUCUGGAGCUCAUGUCCUCUGGAAGCAUCAUCAUCCUCGACGUCAGCUUCAGCCAGCUCAACGGACCGCUGCCCGAGCUGCCAUCUUUGGUUACCGCCGACAGGCCUCUGCAGGUACUCAACAUCUCAAGCAACCAAUUCAGCUCAGAAUUUCCAUCAGCCAUAUGGAAGAUGACGAAGAAUCUGAUCGCGCUCAACGCCAGCAAUAACAGCUUCACUGGGCACAUACCGUCUUCUCUUUGCCUUGGGUCGCCAUCUUUGGCUUUGCUUGAUCUCUGUUACAACCGAUUGAGUGGUGAUAUUCCCACCACACUCGGUGAUUGCUCCAAGCUCAAAGUUCUCAAGGUUGGCCAUAACAACCUAAGUGGAACUCUCCCUGUUGAAACCUUCCGUGCUACCUCGCUAGAGUACCUCUCCUUACCCGACAAUGGUUUACAAGGAGAACUUGAUGGAGCACACAUGAUCAAACUCAGUAAUCUGCUUACUCUUGACCUUGGAGGGAACCAUUUCGGUGGCAACAUCCCAGAGUCCAUAGGUCAGCUCAGGAGUCUGGAGGAGCUCCAUUUGGGUAGCAAUAACAUGUCUGGGGAGCUGCCAUCAACUAUGGGGAACUGCACAAAUCUCAAAACCAUUGAUCUGAAGUUCAACAACUUCAGUGGAGACCUAGGCAAGGUAAAGUUCGCCACCCUACAGAAUCUAAAAAGUUUAGAUCUCAUGAGUAAUAAUCUCAGUGGCAUGCUUCCAGAAAGUAUUUAUUCAUGCAGAAAUUUGACUGCACUGCGGCUGUCGUACAACAAUUUCCAUGGUGAGAUAUCCCUGAGAAUAGGUAAUCUGAAGCACUUGUCCUUCCUAUCACUUGUUAGAAAUUCCUUUACGAACAUCACAAAAACUUUGCAUGGGCUUAAGAGCUGUAAGAACAUCAGCGUCCUGCUUAUUGGAAAAACCUUCAUGAAUGAGGUCAUGCCACAAGAUGAAACCAUUCACGGUUUCCAGAAUCUUCAACAUCUCGCCAUACACCAGUGUUCGUUGACUGGAAGGAUACCUAUUUGGUUAUCAAAGCUCACAAAUCUGAAGAUGCUAGACUUAUACAGCAAUCAACUCACAGGACCAAUGCCAAGCUGGAUCAACUCCCUAAACCACCUCUUUCGGCUGGAUGUAUCUAACAACAGUCUUACUGGGGAAAUCCCAAUCACCUUGAUGCAGAUGCCAAUGUUUAAAUCAGAUAAGGCAGCCAUCUAUUCGGACCCAAGCCUCCUUGACCUUGAUCUAAUUAUUUAUGUUGCGGAAUCAUCAACAGUUCAAUACCGGAUUGACAGUGCUUGGGCCAAAGUGCUGAAUCUCGGCAAGAAUAAAUUCACAGGUGUGAUUCCACAAGAGAUUGGUCAGCUGAAAGCACUCCUUUUCCUGGACUUGAGUUCCAACAACUUUUAUGGAGUGAUCCCACAAUCAAUCUGCGACCUCACGAACCUCCAGCAACUAGAUCUGUCUAAUAACCAUCUGACGGGUGAAAUUCCUGCAGCAUUGGAGAUCCUUCGCUUCCUUUCACAAUUCAACAUUUCCUACAACGACCUAGAAGGACCUAUUCCAACAACAGGCCAGCUGAGCACGUUUCAGACUUCUAGUUUUGACGGGAACCCAAAGCUGUGUGGCUCUCUGCUUAUUAGAGAUUGCAGUUCAGUCGAAGAAGCUCCCGUGCACAUCAUCUCUGCAAAAGAAUGCAGCACUAAGGUCAUCUUUGCCAUUGCCUUUGGUUUGUUCUUUGGGGUAGGAGUGCUAUAUGACCAGUUAGUAUUAUUCAGAUAUUUUGGCUAA